RNAcentral lists this transfer RNA (71 nucleotides) under compost metagenome. Its description in RNAcentral is "tRNA-Gly". It matches the Rfam family "tRNA". From Rfam's summary of the family: Transfer RNA (tRNA) molecules are approximately 80 nucleotides in length. Their secondary structure includes four short double-helical elements and three loops (D, anti-codon, and T loops). The record is from RNAcentral.
UGGGUAAUACUUGAAUAGGGUCAAAGUCAGCCUUCCAAGCUGGUAGCGUGGGUUCGAUUCCCAUCACCCGC